CAUCACGACUCUCGGCAACGGAUAUCUCGGCUCUCGCAUCGAUGAAGAACGUAGCAAAAUGCGAUACGUGGUGUGAAUUGCAGGAUCCCGUGAACCAUCGAGUUUUUGAACGCAAGUUGCGCCCGAAGCCUUUAGGCCGAGGGCACGUCUGCCUGGGCGUCACGC
RNAcentral lists this ribosomal RNA (165 nucleotides) under Urtica mairei. RNAcentral's name for it is "5.8S ribosomal RNA". It matches the Rfam family "5.8S ribosomal RNA". Rfam says of the family: 5.8S ribosomal RNA (5.8S rRNA) is a component of the large subunit of the eukaryotic ribosome. It is transcribed by RNA polymerase I as part of the 45S precursor that also contains 18S and 28S rRNA. The record is from RNAcentral. RNAcentral also lists the same sequence under 3 other names. Lineage: Eukaryota; Viridiplantae; Streptophyta; Magnoliopsida; Rosales; Urticaceae.